Molecule: transfer RNA, 76 nt
Filed under: bacterium
Lineage: Bacteria
Description: tRNA-Val
Rfam family: tRNA
About the family: Transfer RNA (tRNA) molecules are approximately 80 nucleotides in length.
Source: RNAcentral
GGGCGGUUAGCUCAGUUGGUAGAGCGCUACUUUGACGUAGUAGAUGUCAGAGGUUCGACUCCUCUACCGCCCACCA